Molecule: long non-coding RNA, 1991 nt
Organism: Schistocerca nitens (vagrant locust)
Lineage: Eukaryota; Metazoa; Arthropoda; Insecta; Orthoptera; Acrididae
Exons: 3
Source: RefSeq, a predicted model, not a curated record
GAACUUAGCAUCCUCCCUCCGUAAGUAUUUCGUACUGCCGGCAAACUUUUCAGUAUAGGAGGUUUUGUUUCAUGAUGGAACUGCUCUUAGAACUAAUUCUGAAAGUGUGGUGUUGCUCCUUAGCUUUUAUAGCAUACGACACAGUGGUAUACAAUAGUAUGUCUUAAAUAAUAAUUCCAUGUGCUGUCAUUUUCCGUUAAAAACAGAAGAUUUCAGUCAGUUCCAGUUGUAUGUUCAUAAGAUUAUGGAACUGAACAAAAAUUUUUCAUCCAGACUUACAAUAUUGCUACUGAGAUGUUGAACAUAAUACUUUUCUGGUGGAUGACAAUAUAAUUUCUUUUAAAAUUGAUUUGUCACUGCGUGGGGAACUGAAACUGAAAACCGACAGGUGUUUUGAGACACUAUUCAUGUGGAAGGUGAUCACACCGAUGCCACAAAUACCAACAGUACUGCACGAUUUAGGCAAACAGGUUGUGUAGGCUGAAGCAAUGAAGUGAAAAGUAGCUGUGUAUACUGAGGAAAAUGUAAAAGGUGGAUGAGAAAAUUUGAAAUUUUCAGAAGUGAAAACUCAAUGACAUUGUCACUAUGAUCCAAUCAUUAUCAAUUUGGGGCAUGCAGAAAAAAUGAGCUCAUUAUACAUAUAAUAAUUUAUUUAAAUGUGUUUUGAAGAAAUAGGUAAGUAGAAUGAGCUGGAAAUAUUUCUAACAUUGGCCAAUACCAUCUGGUAAUGAAACUUGUACAGAACUUUCAGGGGGUAGACAAUUGGGAACAAAAUUCAAUGAAAUAGGCUUGUCCAUUGAUAUAAAAAUGUUUCACACUGUUGAUUUCUGGACUGGGUGUGUGUAUGGACAGCAUAAUGAGGGACCGAACAUUGGAAUUUCUACACAAGGUAAUUUGGUAGGUGUUUGAAUAAUUCUUUUAUACUGAAGAUUUAGGUGUUUAUUAGAUUUAAAAGAUUGUUCCAAAAGUGUCAAUGUAUUCCUCUGAAAGCUAUUUAUACUCAUAUAGUUUUGAAUGGAGGGAGACUGAAGUUUUUGUGUGUGAAGUUAAGGCAGCACGCACCUUGUUGGAACUUAGACACACGAUUUUAACAAUAAUUGAAAAACUUGUGGAUGGAUUAUAAACAGUAACUUAGAGGAAACUGUCCAUUUGUAUUGAAGGGGGACUGAUGACCAUAGAUGUUAAGUCCCAUAGUGCUCAGAGCCAACCUGUAUUGAAGACGUACUUGCUGAAUAGCUGUAGUUUAGAUAUGAACAAAAAGCAACACUAUUAUCACCACACACGCACGUGCACACACAGAGACCAUGUAUGUGGUUCUGUGCAGGGUUUGCGUGGUACUUUGCACGGCUCCCCUAUUAUUGAGUUUGCUGCAGGUUUCAGAUUUGCUGAUAGAUGACUAGUGAAAUGACCCAAAGUGUGUCAGGGCUCAUUCUCUAGUUGAUUGUUCAUAUGGUAACUGCCCUGUGGACAAUUGUCAGUCACUUUCUUAAUUUCAUUCACUAUAGCACAGUUGAGUGGCAGGUAGUAGAGGUGACAUAUUGUGUAAAUUAAUGAAUUUGGUCUAUGGAGCGAGAAGCCUUUCACUCUAGAACCAUUUCCUGAACUGUGCUAUAUUCUUUGUUGCAUGGGGAAAGACGAUAAGGAUGCAAAGACAAUGGGUGAAUACAGACACAGUUGUGGACACAAGAAAUUGUGAGUUCACACACUGUAUGUGUGCAAUUUCACUGAUCAGUUACUGGAAGUGCACUGCUUGCUUGUGGGCUCAGUAAGUGAAACAAGUACAUGUCACAGAGGCAUAAUUGUUUUGCAUGUGCUCAUCUUGUAUUGUGGCACAGUUUGUUAUGAGAACACAUAGUUUGAUAUUGUCUGUUUCUCCAGCUUCAUUGUGUAAUCACUGUUGUUUAUAUUUUAAUCUUUUGUAUGGUUCUGGAUUUUCUUUACUGAAUACAACAUAUGUAAGAAGGUAAGUCAGUUACUGGAGAUAAAAAUAU